RNAcentral lists this ribosomal RNA (441 nucleotides) under uncultured Aeromonas sp. Its description in RNAcentral is "bacterial SSU rRNA". It matches the Rfam family "Bacterial small subunit ribosomal RNA", at positions 349 to 782 of the family's 1533-position model. Lineage: Bacteria; Pseudomonadati; Pseudomonadota; Gammaproteobacteria; Aeromonadales; Aeromonadaceae. The record is from RNAcentral.
CAGCAGUGGGGAAUAUUGCACAAUGGGGGAAACCCUGAUGCAGCCAUGCCGCGUGUGUGAAGAAGGCCUUCGGGUUGUAAAGCACUUUCAGCGAGGAGGAAAGGUUGAUACCUAAUACGUAUCAGCUGUGACGUUACUCGCAGAAGAAGCACCGGCUAACUCCGUGCCAGCAGCCGCGGUAAUACGGAGGGUGCAAGCGUUAAUCGGAAUUACUGGGCGUAAAGCGCACGCAGGCGGUUGGAUAAGUUAGAUGUGAAAGCCCCGGGCUCAACCUGGGAAUUGCAUUUAAAACUGUCCAGCUAGAGUCUUGUAGAGGGGGGUAGAAUUCCAGGUGUAGCGGUGAAAUGCGUAGAGAUCUGGAGGAAUACCGGUGGCGAAGGCGGCCCCCUGGACAAAGACUGACGCUCAGGUGCGAAAGCGUGGGGAGCAAACAGGAUUAGA